AGAGUUUGAUCCUGGCUCAGAUUGAACGCUGGCGGCGUGCUUAACACAUGCAAGUCGUGCGAGAAAGGGGACUUCGGUCCCUGAGUAGAGCGGCGCACGGGUGAGUGACGCGUGGAUAAUCUACCCAGAUGUUCGGGAUAACGGUGGGAAACUGCCGCUAAUACCGGAUACGAUCCAAUUUCGGUUGGAUGAAAGGCGGCCUCUGCUUGCAAGCUGUCGCAUCUGGAUGAGUCCGCGUCCCAUUAGCUUGUUGGUGGGGUAAUGGCCUACCAAGGCUACGAUGGGUAACUGGUCUGAGAGGAUGAUCAGUCACACUGGAACUGAAACACGGUCCAGACUCCUACGGGAGGCAGCAGUGGGGAAUAUUGCGCAAUGGGGGAAACCCUGACGCAGCGACGCCGUGUGAGGGAAGAAGGCUUUCGGGUCGUAAACCUCUGUCGGGAGGGAAG
RNAcentral lists this ribosomal RNA (449 nucleotides) under uncultured bacterium. Its description in RNAcentral is "bacterial SSU rRNA". It matches the Rfam family "Bacterial small subunit ribosomal RNA", at positions 8 to 447 of the family's 1533-position model. The record is from RNAcentral.